Molecule: long non-coding RNA, 348 nt
Filed under: Vigna radiata
Lineage: Eukaryota; Viridiplantae; Streptophyta; Magnoliopsida; Fabales; Fabaceae
Description: long non-coding RNA (VRAD_LNC011481)
Source: RNAcentral
CGGGUCUUGCACUCGUGGUGACUUAUGAAACUUGGGUUCCCCACCCUGCCACACUCAUGAGGUUAGCCUGUUUCGCGCCUUGAGGCAUACUGAGAGCCCCUAAGACUAAGACCUCCUGCUACUCCUCACCACAUGGUUCAAUCUCUCUAGAUGAGCUUGAUUGACCAUUGGAGUUUCAGGAUGACCCCCACGACUGAGCUUCCUACUUUCAUUCUAAAAUACUAAAAAUCUCGCCAAGAGAUUCUACACGGAUGGAAAUUGGUUUACCACUUGGAUCGUAGUUUCAUCACUUUGUAAUCAUAUACUUUUUGCCCCAAUCAACAUAUACAUAAUCUCAACAAUGUACAU